Molecule: ribosomal RNA, 414 nt
Filed under: bacterium Ellin6006
Lineage: Bacteria; Bacillati; Actinomycetota; Actinomycetes; Mycobacteriales; Nocardiaceae
Description: bacterial SSU rRNA
Rfam family: Bacterial small subunit ribosomal RNA
Source: RNAcentral
GACGAACGCUGGCGGCGUGCUUAACACAUGCAAGUCGAACGGUAAGGCCCUUCGGGGUACACGAGUGGCGAACGGGUGAGUAACACGUGGGUGAUCUGCCCUGCACUUCGGGAUAAGCCCGGGAAACUGGGUCUAAUACCGGAUAGUACUGCGCGGUGCAUGCCGUGUGGUGGAAAGAUUUAUCGGUGCAGGAUGGGCCCGCGGCCUAUCAGCUUGUUGGUGGGGUAAUGGCCUACCAAGGCGACGACGGGUAGCCGGCCUGAGAGGGCGACCGGCCWCACUGGGRCUGAGACACGGCCCAGACUCCUACGGGAGGCAGCAGUGGGGAAUAUUGCACAAUGGGCGCCAGCCUGAUGCAGCGACGCCGCGUGAAGAAUGACGGCCUUCGGGUUGCUAAACCUCUUUCAGCAUGGC